CUGUGUCUUGCUUCAACCACAAGAAUUUGAAUGGAACAG
This is a non-coding RNA of Otolemur garnettii (small-eared galago), 39 nucleotides long. The record is from Rfam. Lineage: Eukaryota; Metazoa; Chordata; Mammalia; Primates; Galagidae.